AAGACAGGCAUCAGUUUAUAUCCUUAUAUAGAGCCUUAACUAUUUUCAACUAUCUAUAACGAAAUUCAUGUUUGGAAAGGAAGUGGUUUGCUCUAGGGAAACAUAUGGGUGAGGGUUCUGAAAGUGAUUAUCUCCCAUUUUUAACUUUAGCUUCUAGCUGUGUGCAUUUGGAGAAAGUUUUCCUCGAUUCCCACUGAAAGAUAUAUAUCUGCUCUAUUUUUCCAUUCACCUUAAGGGAAUCAUAGCUUAGACAACUGCUGCCAAAAUAGCCCAGUGUUAGGGUAGGAAUUGGGGAGAGUUUUUCCCUGGUGGCUCAGUUGGUAAAGAAUCCAUCUGCAAUGCAGGAGACCCAGGUUCAAUCCUUGGGAGGGGAAGAUCCCCUGGAAAAGGAAAUGGCAACCCACUCCGGUAUUCUUGACUGGGAAAUCCCAUGGAGAGAGGAUCCUGGUGGGCUAUACAGUCCACGGGGUUGCAAAGAGUCGGACAAGACCUUAGCAACUAAACUAUCACCGCCACCACCUUAGGCACUAAAAAUGUACUGGUUAAUUCGUUUAUGUCACAAUAUCAGAAAGUAAGGACUCUUAUCAGGAUCCCAAUUUACAGAUGAAGAAAUUAAGGCACAGAGAGGUUGAGUAACUUGCUUAAGGACACACAGACUUAAGUGGCAGAGUUGAGAUUUGGACCAGGUGGGCUCAGUUUAAAGUCCAUGCCCUAACACCCUGCUACAUCUUAAUUAUUAACUCUCGCUAUGGAGAUAAAAGUAGAUUCAUUUUCUUAGGAAAAGAAGAUUGUCCAAUACCUUUUUGUACACACUUCCAGCAAGGGGGCUUCUGCAGCAUGACUCUCCUGUGUCCCGGUGAUGCUUGGAGCAUACGCUUAUGAACACCAUUGAACUACAAGUACGCCUUCACAACAAAUGUUUUUCUUGUCUAUACCCAUGCAACCAAAUACAUCUAAAGAACUUGAUUACUUGGUAGUUGUGAGAUGAACUGCACAGAGGGAAGCUUUUUGCUCUGGAUGCUCAUCAAAUAGGAUCAAAAGUGAAUCAUUUAAUAGAUUAUUAAAGAGUUAAAUUCUUUGAACUCAUCUCGAGAUCCCUGUGGUGAAAGGUACUAAUUACAAUGCAAAAACAGCCAAAUAUUGAUUAGAAAAUGCUAUGAACUAAGUGCCCAGGAAGUCCUUUUCUGCUUACUGGAUUUAAAACACAUUUUUCUACUUGAAAUUUGUUACAGAGAAACAGGAAAUCAUCUCCAUUCCCCAUCUUAUUUUGGCAAAGAGACAAAGGAAUCUAUGAGGACACUACCAUGAUGGGCGAUCAGAGAGGAACUAAUACCUGCCCUGACACUAGGUAUCGAUGCCCUAGCAGUGACUGACCAACUGCUGGCUUCGCAGCAAUCCAGAUGGAGAUGACCAGUAAGUGACAGACUUGUUACUUUCAGCAAGCAAGCCUGUUAUUUCACACAUGACUUCCUUUGAGUAAAUGUGAGUUUUCACUCUACAUACCUGGCCAGAAAUCAAGUGGUUUUACAAGAGAGACGUGGGAUAUCAGGCAUUGGAUUGUGAUACUCAUAUCUUAUAUAAAUGAGCAUACUAUGGUCCUUGGGGGCUGCAGAAUAGUCCAAGACUCCUUCAUAAUCAAUCACACCACCAUCAAGGCAAUAGACAGGGCAGGUUGGGAGCAUGUCUUCCAUUACCACUGAUGGAUGACUUUCACCUUUCUGUGGAAGAGUAGUUCUGACUCUUCAUGAAUCACAGAGGACAUACUUAAAAUGCCCAGCUGUGGCCCUGAACAGUCAAAAAUAUUUUCAUACAUCUCUACAGGCACCAAAUAGUUUGGGCAAUGCCAAGUAAGUUACAACCCAUUUCUGUAGUUUGGGAAGGUCGUUAGAACUCAGAUUCAUUAUCUGCUGAGACUUUGCUUUGUUUUCCAUUUAUUACUCUCCUUUGAGUGAAACAGAGCUGCAGGAGCGGAACAGAGACCUCAGUUCAUUCAUCCCUGACACACUAUUCGUGUCUACCAUUUCUCCAUAAAUUUGGAGAGGAAGAGACAGAAAUUGCAAAUGCAGGGAUUUAAAUCCCCUUGGGCUACGUUUGUCAAGAUGAGCAGAUUGUAAAUUGCCUCUCGCAAAUAUGAUAAGCAUUUGGGCAUCAAGCGAAGAACCGGGAACAACAGACUCAUUCAUUUGUGUGGUGUUUCCCUCCAGAAGUUUCUAAAUGGCUUCUGUAGUCAUUAUAUAGACCUAGAAUUGAUCAGGUUUAGCAGGAAGAUUAGAGACACUACACUAUUUGGCUAAGGAAGUUGGCUUUUUCCAGUGAGAUUGAAAUGACAAUUUUUUCUGCUUAUAGCAUCACAAUCUUUACAAAGUAUGCACUUGGAAUACCUGAUUUGGGCUUUUCUGAGAAAACAAGGAGAGAUAUGUAUAAUCCUUUAAAUUGUCUUAGAGCUUUAUAGGCACAUUGAUGACAAAGAAAUCCAAAUCAUUUAGAUGCUCUCAUUCACAGUUAUGGCCCUUCUGUUGAAAAAUAACCUUUGUAUUUUACACUUUAAGUCCCUGACAGGACCCUAUCCUCUUAUCUCCUUCAACAGAAGCUAUUUUCUUUUGCUUCUUAUUUUGACCUUUAAAAAUUUCACCACAUAAGUCAUCCAUUAAUACAUUUUCAUUAUAAAAAUAUUACAAAUAACACUGGAGUUCCCUUUGAUUAUUAUGUCAAAUUCUGAAGCUCUCCCAAUCCUACUACAACCCUAUCCAUCUUUGGUCACAAGCAUCAUUAAUAGUUUUGUGUGUAUCUCUCCAGACCUUCUUCCAGGAGUGUGUGUGUGUGUGUGUGUGUGCGUAUAGUAUAUUUUUGUGUAUGCACAUGUUCUUUGAGAUAAAUAUACUGUAAGUACCAUACGACAGGUUGCUUUUUUCACACAGUGAUUCUGGAAGUCUGUUAGUACAGAGAACUGUUCCAUCUUCCUAUGGAUUGAAUGUUUAUAUCCUCCCAAAGUUAUAUGUUGAGGCCAAUGUGGUUAUAUUUGGAGGAUGGCUUUGGGGAAGUAAUUAGGUUACAAGUAAGGGUGGAGACCUCAUGAAUGAGAUUAGUGCUCUUAUAGGAAGAGACAUAAGAGAGCUUGCUUCCUCUGCCUCUUCAUUCUCUGCCAUGUAAAGAUGCAAUGAGAAGACAGCCAUCUGCAAAGCCAGAAGUGGGCUCUCACCAGGCACCAGAUCUGCCAGUACCUUGAUCUUACCCAGAGAAAUAAAUGUUUAUUGUUUAAGCCAUCUAGUCUAUGGUAUAUUUAUAACAGCAGCCCAAACAGACUAAGACACAUUCUUUCUAGUCUUUUUUAACCACUGCAUAAUAUCUCACAGUGUUGGUAGGCCAUAGUUAACAAAUAAGGGUGGUUACUAAACAGGUGGUUCUAAUUUCUCACUAUAGGCUCCCCCUGCCUGAUGAAGAGUCUUGAAAAAUCCAUUAUAGAGUGAGUUCUUCUAAGUAGAAAAGUGUAAAUUCCAUUUACUUUAAUGAAAAAAAAUGUUUAUGUACUUCUAAGCCCCUAAAUCAUGCCUAUUUAUGCUACAACACCAUUUAACAUUAACAUGGACACAAGGACUUCUAUAGUUAAUAUUAACUUGACCAGAUAUUCUCCAUCAUUAAUUAUCCUAUCAUACACCUGUUUCCAUUCUUUCAGUGUUUACAGAUUGAACACUUAAGACUUUGGUGUAUUUGUUCAUUGAACAAAUCACUACCGAGCACCUAUUAUGAGUCAAACACUGCUUUGCAUGCUGGGAAUAUAUUAACAGACAAAAAGUUCCUGUCUCAUGGAAAUUAAAUCCUAACACAAUAGACAAGUAAUAGAUAAGUAAUGAAAUAGAGCAAGACCUUAUGGUCUUUCCCCCCGGCCAUGUUCUCAGCCUGCCUUCUGUCUGUGGAAAAACUUUAGCCAAAGAAUAAGUUUAACCAGAGAAGUGAGAAAAUGCAGAAAUGAAGGAAAGCAGUCAGAGGAGACCAAAUAAUAACAAUAAUGUAGUCACUAAGCAUAAUCAAAGACCUUUCGUUCCUCCUCAAGGGCUGCAGAUAACAUUCUGAGCUAUAUCCUGUCAGCUGUGUCAGAGAUGCUGAAACCCCCGCCAAGUGGAGAAGUUAGCCACGUGAUGACCAGACUAUAGCCAUGACAUAAGCAGCCACCGUUUCGAGAACUGGCCUCAAGGAAAUGGGAACAAACUCACCCCAGAAAUGAAGAUUAGUUGUACUUAAAACAAUCACGCUGACACUGGUCAAACCACAGAUGACCAAUCUCAAGAUGACUGUCAGAGCGGACUGUGCCAUUUCUGCACGUAGCCCUCUCUCUCUGUCUAUAAAAGCUCUUACUCCCUGAUUGCUGGGGAGAAGUUGGCAUCCACCCUCCCCCUCCCUGUUACUAGCAUCCAGAAUAAAGCGAGCUUCCCUUUCCACCAAUCCAGCUGCUUUAAUAGCUUUUGAGUGGUGAGCAGUUGGACCGUGGUUCAGUAGUAGUAUGAUAUAAAUGAUGGUAGACAGUGAUGCAUCCUAAGGAGAAAAAAAACAAGCAGGUAAAGGGAAUAUUGGGAGGAUUGAAAUCUGACCUGAAGAUACCUCACCAAGAAGGAGGCUUUUGAUUAAAAAGCCCAAAGAAGUGAGGGAGGGAUGUGUGAAGCUGUUUGGAAGAAAAUAAUCCUCUAUAUAUAAGAUGCCCUAUAUUCUCUGACUAAGAUGCCCUCUAGGACCAAAUAAUUCUUCCUGGCAGAAAUGGCCAGUCUUUUUGUCCUGCAGUUCAUCCUUGGUUUCUCGUCCUAUAUCACAUUUCUUAGCAGAUUUUUUUCCCCCCAAAGAUAGCAGACUAGAGCUUUCUUGCAGAAGUGUUACGAGGUGAUCCCAGUUUUAAGUGAUAAGUGGAUCGCUCAGCUUGAGAUUUAUAACAUGAGGGAGAAUGGGACACAUAGGCUACCCACUUUCUCUUGGGAGGCAUUGGCAGGAAAAAUGUGGUUAGCCUUCUGAUGGGCAGAUUUGUGGAGCAAUCUGUCUCUGCCUGAGGCCACUGGCUAGAGAAAGAGCCCAGGUAUUAGCCAGAAGAGAAGAACUCAACCCAAGUGAAAAUGAGCAACUUUUUUUAUGACCAGGUACCUGCUUGUCUGGGGAAUCUGACUAGCAUUUUAUAUACUCCCUCAACAUAAAUCUUAUCUCUUCUGAUUAUCAGUUGGAUAACCUGAGGCAGAUUAUUUAAUCUCUCUGAGGUUUGCUUUUCAUCUGGAAAAUAAGUAUGAUAAUAGUCGCUGCCUCAUAAGGAUGAUAUUGGGAAUUAAAUUGAGACCAUGGAGGUAAAGUGUCUGUAACAUAGUUAAGUAGUUAGUGAAUAAAGACACUGUCACCACCAGCAUCAUUAUCAUCACCAUAGCUACUACCAUCAUCUUUAUCACCACCACCAAACUCACCAUCACCAUGACAACCACCAUUACCACGACCACCUUCAUCAUCAGUGUCAACACCACCAUCGUCAUCUCUAUCACCCACCACCAUCAUCAUCAUCAGUGUCAACACCACCAUCGUCAUCUCUAUCACCCACCACCAUCAUCAUCAUCAGUGUCAACACCACCAUCGUCAUCUCUAUCACCCACCACCAUCAUCAUCAUCAGUGUCAACACCACCAUCGUCAUCUCUAUCACCCACCACCAUCAUCAUCAUCACUGGCAGUACCACCAUGAUCAUCAUCUCUAUCACCACCACCACCAUUUCUAGGGCUUAACAGGGAACAGCACCAAGUUCAAGGACAAGCAGGCAUUACUGAGUGCAUCUUUAAAAGACUUCUCAGUAUCUCACAGCCCACGGUACUGAAGAUUCAACAGAGAGGCUGCCUAAAAUUGGUAAUCUUCAAGGCAAGGGAAGCAUAAAACCACUGCAAGCUCCAAGUAGGUAGUAGAGGGUUAAGGAUUUCCAGGAAGGGUGGUGGUUUACAAAUGGGAUUCCUUGGCACCAGUGACGGGGGAGGAGGAGGAAAUGGAGCCAUUUGAGGACAAUCAAAGGCACCUGCGGAACAGGCUAAGGUGCCGAUGCUGACCAGGGAGCUGCUCGGUGGAAAUAUCUGUGAAGAGGUGCAGACGCCUGCUGUGAGAAGCACCAGGGGCCCGAUAACCUCGCAUGGCUUCAUUUGUGUCUCUUUGGCCCCAGUGUGUUCUCAGUUGCAUGGAAACAACCAUAGUUGACGACCAAAUCUUUCAGCUACAAAUCCACCUCACAGUAUAAAGAGAGCUAAACACGUAAGUAUUCAGCUAUCUCUAAAAAUAACAUGUUAGUUUUCUCUUUUGUUGAGAGGCUCUACGUAACAGUUUACAACACUAACUGGUCAGGCCAAAAUGACAUGGGUUUGAAUCCUGGCUCUGUUUUACCACGUGUGUGAGAUUAGAUGAGUUCUGAAAUUCCUUGCAUCUAAAUGUUCUCAUUUGGGCAGUGGAAAUCGUAGUAUCUACCCAUUAGGGUACUUAUGGAGAGUAAAUGGGAUGAUACAUACAAAACACUCAGCGUGGUGCUCAGCACACAGUAAAUACACAUUACUGAUUAUCAUCGAAGAUUUCUGGCUGGAUUGUUUUCUGGUAAGGUAAAUGGGGAAGGAGAAUAUAAAUGUAGUGAAGGAGAAAGGGAAGAAGAGGAGACAUGAAAAAGAGAGUCAGGAUGUGAAAAGCUUAUCUUGGAAGAGAGGCAUUUAAUGACUGUCAAGAAAGUCCUGAGAGAGAAAAAGGAUAAAGAUGGCAGGGACUCAAAGGCAGAGAAUUAGUUUUGCUUUCUUGCCAAGGUUUCAUCCAUCUGCUCUUGGCUUCUGUGCUGACUUUUCCCGCCAAAUGGCAGCUCUAGAAAUCUAGUGGUGAAACCCAGGGCAGGGAGACAGACCAUUUCGGGAUCACCCUAAACUUUUGUUCUUAGGGGAGUCAUAAACGAAAUGUAUAUACUAUUCUUUUGCAGUAUGGAAUUUCUUUGAGACUAAUAGAAGAGACAGGCCUUCAAGUAAGUCAGCAGUGACCACAGGCAGACAUAAUCCUAUCACUUUUUGGCUGACAGCUCAUGCAGAGAAAAAACUCUCUGAUCCAGACAAAGUGUGAAGUUUGGCUGGUCUGAAUCCACUUUGAUGGCUUUUUGAAUCUUAAUCAACUACAAAAUCAAGGCAAAAUUGCAGUUCUGAAAUGAAUUUUCAUUAUGAUUUCUUCUGAUGUGACUUUACAAACCAACAGUUUAAGAAACCAAGUUGAAGCGUGGAUCUGAAUAUCAGAAUGUAGGGCACGCUUAAGAGGAAGAUCAAAAUGCAAUUUUGACAUUACAAAAAACUAGCUCGACCCUGAAGAAUAACUGCUUUUAUAAAAUUAAAUAUGAAUUGAAGUCAUGUGUAUGAUCCACCCCAUCUGUUCAGCAUACAUGCAUAUUGCAAAUGUAUACAUUUUUUUAGCAAAGAAGGGAAAUGUGCUUAUUUCACAUUUUUGCUAAAUUACUUCCUAAGAUGUUAUAUCCUAGAGCUCUGGGAUGGCUAUGACUGGAAUUUGCCUGCUUUUGUUUCUAACUUAAGCACAGCCUGGCGGCCUGUGCAGAAUUUAACUUUCCAGAUAUGGGAUCACCUUGGGGCAGCUGACUUCUAUUAAUACAAAGCACAGGAGACACUUAUUUCUGUGUUCAGACUUCUCUCACGUAAUCUGCACUUUUCUUCACCUGUCCAAGGUGCUUCUUCCUUGGAGUUCUGCAGCUGAGGUCCAUGGUCCACCCCUUGGUGGGUGCAGCUGAAGUGGCUCAUCCCUGGCAUUGCCCAGCCAGCCACAUGGCUCGUUUAACCAUGGGCUUGAGGUACAGUCCAGUGUGAGACCCGGAGGAAAGGGAGGCUUCUGUCUGAAGUUCAGGAUUAAAUACUUUCCUUUAAGAGUUGGGAUUUUGCCCUUUAGAGCUGCAUGUAUCAAUACCCCAAAGCAAUUUUCUUGGACGCAUUUUGCUUUGAAUUUGAAAUAUGCUUUUGAAGCUUUUUAUUUAAUAAGGCACAAGCAUAGGCACAAGACUACAUUCAUUAUUUAGACUAGAACUUCUUUUGCACAUGAUGUAAGGAAAAAAAAAAAAAGCUGGCAUGCGUGUUCAGGGUAAUUGCAUAGAUUGAAAUGAACCCAAUUUCUGUAAAGGAUU
Dama dama (fallow deer) is the source of this 8148-nucleotide long non-coding RNA. RefSeq lists it as uncharacterized. NCBI's taxonomy places the organism in Eukaryota, Metazoa, Chordata, Mammalia, Artiodactyla, Cervidae. The transcript is spliced from 4 exons. The record is from RefSeq and is a predicted model, not a curated record.